RNAcentral lists this non-coding RNA (28 nucleotides) under unclassified sequences. The record is from RNAcentral.
CAACCUCUGAUCACCGAGAUGCAUGUUG